UACGGAGGAUCCGAGCGUUAUCCGGAUUUAUUGGGUUUAAAGGGUGCGCAGGCGGGAUGUUAAGUCGGCGGUGAAAUUUUGCAGCUCAACUGUAAAAGUGCCAUUGAUACUGGUUUUCUUGAGUGUGGAUGAAGUAGGCGGAAUUUGUGGUGUAGCGGUGAAAUGCAUAGAUAUCACGAGGAACUCCGAUUGCGCAGGCAGCUUACUAAACCAUAACUGACGCUCAGGCACGAAGGCGUGGGGAUCAAACAGGAUUAGAUA
Molecule: ribosomal RNA, 261 nt
Filed under: uncultured prokaryote
Description: partial 16S ribosomal RNA
Rfam family: Bacterial small subunit ribosomal RNA
Source: RNAcentral